Molecule: ribosomal RNA, 253 nt
Filed under: uncultured bacterium
Lineage: Bacteria
Description: partial 16S ribosomal RNA
Rfam family: Bacterial small subunit ribosomal RNA
Source: RNAcentral
GACAGAGGGUGCAAACGUUGUUCGGAAUUACUGGGCGUAAAGCGCGUGUAGGCGGCUGCGCAAGUCGGAUGUGAAAUCCCAUGGCUCAACCAUGGAAGUGCACCCGAAACUGCGUAGCUAGAGUCUCGGAGAGGAAGGCGGAAUGCUUGGUGUAGAGGUGAAAUUCGUAGAUAUUGGGAAGAACACCGGUGGCGAAGGCGGCUAUCUGGACCGACAUUGACGCUGAGGCGCGAAAGCGUGGGGAGCAAACAGG